CCAAUAGCGUAUAUUAAAGUUGUUGCAGUUAAAAAGCUCGUAGUUGAAUUUCGGGAUUGGCGCAUCGGUCGUGCCUCACGGGGUAUGAACUGGUGCAGUCAAUUUCUCACCUUCUGGAGAACCGCGAUGUCCUUAAUUGGAUGCCGCGGGGAACCAGGACCUUUACUUUGAAAAAAUUAGAGUGUUUAAAGCAGGCAUUUUUGCUUGAAUACAUGAGCAUGGAAUAAUAAAAUAGGAAGGCAUGGUUCUAUUUUGUUGGUUUCUAGGACCACCGGAAUGAUUAAUAGGGAUAGUUGGGGGCAUUAGUAUUCAAUUGUCAGAGGUGAAAUUCUUGGAUUUAUUGAAGACUAACUACUGCGAAAGCAUUUGCCAAGGAUGUUUUCAUUAAUCAAGAACGAAAGUUAGGGGAUCGAAGACGAUCAGAUACCGUCGUAGUCUUAACCAUAAACUAUGCCGACUAGGAAUCAGACGAUGUUAAUUUUUUAAUGACUCGUUUGGCACCUUACG
Molecule: ribosomal RNA, 507 nt
Filed under: uncultured Glomeromycotina
Lineage: Eukaryota; Fungi; Glomeromycota
Description: partial small subunit ribosomal RNA
Rfam family: Eukaryotic small subunit ribosomal RNA
Source: RNAcentral